RNAcentral lists this ribosomal RNA (497 nucleotides) under uncultured bacterium. RNAcentral describes it as "partial 16S ribosomal RNA". It matches the Rfam family "Bacterial small subunit ribosomal RNA", at positions 28 to 507 of the family's 1533-position model. The record is from RNAcentral.
GAUGAACGCUGGCGGCGUGCCUAAUACAUGCAAGUCGAGCGAACAGACGAGGAGCUUGCUCCUCUGACGUUAGCGGCGGACGGGUGAGUAACACGUGGAUAACCUACCUAUAAGACUGGGAUAACUUCGGGAAACCGGAGCUAAUACCGGAUAAUAUAUUGAACCGCAUGGUUCAAUAGUGAAAGACGGUUUUGCUGUCACUUAUAGAUGGAUCCGCGCCGCAUUAGCUAGUUGGUAAGGUAACGGCUUACCAAGGCGACGAUGCGUAGCCGACCUGAGAGGGGUAUCCGCCACACUUGAACUGGAGCACGGUCCAGACUCCUAAGGGAAGCAGCAGUUGGGAAUCUUCCGCAAUUGGCGAAAGCCUGACGGAGCAACGCCGCGUUAGUGAUGAAGGUCUUCGGAUCCUAAAACUCUGUUAUUAGGGAAGAACAAAUGUUUAAGUAACUAUGCACGUCUUGACGGUACCUAAUCAGAAAGCCACCGCUUACUACGUG